Molecule: ribosomal RNA, 253 nt
Filed under: uncultured bacterium
Lineage: Bacteria
Description: partial 16S ribosomal RNA
Rfam family: Bacterial small subunit ribosomal RNA
Source: RNAcentral
UACGGAGGGUGCGAGCGUUGUCCGGAAUCACUGGGCGUAAAGGGCGCGUAGGCGGCGCGGGCAGUCAAUGGUGAAAUCUUGGGGCUCAACCCCGAGUCGGCCGUCGAUACUCCCGUGCUUGAGCACUGUAGAGGCAGGUGGAAUUCCGGGUGUAGCGGUGGAAUGCGUAGAGAUCCGGAAGAACACCGGUGGCGAAGGCGGCCUGCUGGGCAGUAGCUGACGCUGAGGCGCGACAGCGUGGGGAGCAAACAGG